GGAGUGAGCUUGAAGUCGCGUGUUUGCAUUAGUUUUUUGAAGUGCUGUUGGGGUUGGGGCUGCGUGAUCGUCACUGGCGUCCUCCAGAGUGCCCACCGAUCAGAAAGUCGUACGAACCGCAAGCUUUGAACGUCUGUUUAUCGCACCAUCGAAAGCGGCGGCACAGAAGGCGCGAUGUGAGCUCCGGUGGGAACAGCAGCCCUUUGUCUCGUAACGGUGCCGUCCAGACUGGCCAUGAGACCAGCGAGUUUGCUGUAGAAACAGCCAUUUGGGAGUGGCUGCGUCACGCUUCUGCCAGGCACAGAACUGCCAUUGCCAAGGACUGUGCCACUGAACAGCCCGGAUAUGUGUGACAUGGUUCCCUCGGCCUGUUGUACCUUUACCUAUCACCCGCGGCAUCUAGCUGCCAGUGUGACCUUGCUUUCUUCAGCGCUGUGCCACUGAAUAGCCCGGACAUGUCUGACAUGGUCUCCUAGGCCUGCUGUACUUUCACCCAUCACCCGUGGCGUCUAGAUCCAGUGUGCCGAGUUGUCCAAAACUGCCAAGUGCUUUAUGAUGUCACCAAUGUGCCAAAUGCUCUAGUACUAUUAUGUGCUCCGCCACUCUGCCAUGCGCUCUCCACUUCUCCAGUAUAUAAAGUGUCCCAUGGCGUCUCCAUUUGCGAAGUGCAUUACCAAGUCUCCAAGUGCUCCAGUACUGUGUUAUGUGCUCCGCUGCUGUGCCGAGUGCUCUCCGUUUAUGCAGUAUACCAAGUGCCCAUUGCGUCUCCGCAUUUUACCAAGUGCUCCAAUAUUGUCAACUGCUUGACCACGUCUGGAAUGUGCCAUGUACUCCACUGCUGUGCCAAGUGUAUACUUUGUAAAUGAUAUACAUGUCUUAAGUUCAACCAAUACCUCUAUUGCAUAACUUAUCCAUACAGUGGGUCUUCACAUAGACUUCUAAGUCAGUAUGUACACAUAUUGUAGAGUUGUGUUACUGUUUCUGUAGAGUAGAUGUGGGUCAACAUGCUUUUUUUUUCUUCAUAGAAGGCUACAGUGCGGAACCAACAAAGACAAGGAACACAGACACAGUGCUGACUUUCAACAAGAAUCAGCUUUCUGAAAGUCAGUGCUGUGUCUGUUCUUUGUGUGCCUCUCCUGUCUUCGUCGGUUUCGUGCCAUGGCCUUCUACGAUGUUCAACCAACAAGCCCAACUGGUUACUCUGCUCAAAUGUUUUUUCUACCACUCUUGGCACCUUUGUGCUGUUUCCUAUAUCAAGUGCCCAGCUUGCUGCUGCCAUUGAUGUCAUCAUUGCCAAAACAGCUUUCAUAAAUAACAGCAUAAAUUUGGACAGCACAAUAUUAUUUUUAAAUUUUCAUUUCAUUCUAAUAUAUAAAGAAGAUUGUACUUAUUUGUUUAUUUCUACUCACAUUCUGCAGAUAUCACAAGGACCAUGCAUUGCGUUUAAUGUUUUACUCCCAGAAGAUGUGUGCAUCACUCCUGGAAGUUUGUAGUUUGUGUAUUUCUAGUCAGGUUUUGUGGAUUUUGCUUCGACCAACUUUCUAGUCACAUUUCGCAGAUUUUACUUGCACAUCUAUUGAUUUUAUUGUUUUACUUGCACAUGAAUUGUCUGCAUUUUGACAAGGUCACAAAUAUAUCUGAGAAAAUAUUGAGCUUUAUGCUGCCAGAUGUAAGAGUUGCGUGUUCAAAGGAACUCUUGUUAAAGUUCAUGCUAUUCAUCGCUUCGACAUUUCAGGUCUCUCUGUUCAUCUUAGUAUUUUUUUAUGCAAUAUUGUCUUAGCUGCGUUUUGUGUAUGGUAUAACAAGGAUUCCUCAGCGAGAGCUUGUGGUAUACUUUGCAAGGGCAUGAUUUAGGGAUUUAUUGCUCUGGUUUAGUUCUAUAUUUUCUAAGCAACAAUAUCCUAAGAUUCUGUAUGAUAUAGGUCUCAUUUUUGCUGUUCAACAUAGCUUUCAUUUUGUUAAACAUAUCCUGAAUAAAAGCUUGAGAUACUCUUUGAGGAUAUACACGUGAGUUUAUUUUAGUUGUAUUUUUCUAUGAAAGAUUACUUUAUUAUGUGUAAUGUUUGUUCUAAAAUAAAGUUUUGCUGUGGAACCAAUGUUUGAAGGCUGGUAUCAUUUUUCUAUCAGGUGAAAAAGACACUACACGAUUGCCGCACAUGCUGGGGAAUGUAUAAAAUUACAUCUUGGGCACGUAUUUAUAACGUAUUUCGGCUCAAAACUAAUAUCCAAACAAUGUAACAAAUGUCCAGCAAUUACAUCCAUAUAACAUCUUUUCGACGUAAAAAAAGAGGACUUUUGACAGUACCACCUACGUAGAUUUUACGUAAACUAGAUCUAUUUGAACCUCUAAUAGAGGUAUUGAAUGUCCAACUGAAAUAUCUAAUGGACAUCCAGGCAAUGUUUAUG
Long non-coding RNA from Dermacentor silvarum, 2406 nucleotides. RefSeq lists it as uncharacterized. The transcript has 3 exons. NCBI's taxonomy places the organism in Eukaryota, Metazoa, Arthropoda, Arachnida, Ixodida, Ixodidae. The record is from RefSeq and is a predicted model, not a curated record.